GAUGAACGCUGGCGGCGUGCUUAACACAUGCAAGUCGAACGGAGCUUAGAAGGAAGCUUGCUUUCAUUUAAGCUUAGUGGCGGACGGGUGAGUAACGCGUGAGCAACCUGCCCUCGAGUGGGGAAUAACAUCGAGAAAUCGGUGCUAAUACCGCAUAAAGUCGAGAGACCGCAUGAUCUUUCGACCAAAGGAUUUAUUCGCUUGAGGAUGGGCUCGCGUCCGAUUAGCUAGUUGGUGAGGUAACGGCCCACCAAGGCAUCGAUCGGUAGCCGAACUGAGAGGUUGAUCGGCCACAUUGGGACUGAGACACGGCCCAGACUCCUACGGGAGGCAGCAGUGGGGAAUAUUGGGCAAUGGGCGAAAGCCUGACCCAGCAACGCCGCGUGAAGGAUGAAGGUCUUCGGAUUGUAAACUUCUUUGAUUGGGGAAGAAUAAAUGACCU
This 442-nucleotide ribosomal RNA is filed under the name bacterium WCD3003. RNAcentral's name for it is "bacterial SSU rRNA". It matches the Rfam family "Bacterial small subunit ribosomal RNA", at positions 28 to 459 of the family's 1533-position model. The record is from RNAcentral.